RNAcentral lists this unclassified non-coding RNA (269 nucleotides) under uncultured bacterium. Its description in RNAcentral is "contains 16S-23S intergenic spacer region". The record is from RNAcentral.
CGCUGAAGGAUGACGAGGUGGACCGUCUCGUCGACUUCGUGAGGAGCCUCGGAUGAUCACGUGGUGGUGCACCGCCCUCGCCCGACCCUGGACCUGGGAGUGGAUCCCCUAUCCGGGAAUCUGGGCGGCGGCGAUCGUUCCCAUGGUGGCCUACGGCCGGUCGGUACACCGACAUGAGGGUCCCACCGACUGGAAAAGGGUCGCCCAGUUCAUGACGGGUGUCAUGGUGUUUUGGAUCGCCUCCGAUUGGCCCAUAGGGACGUUGGGUG